AUAAGAAACUUAAGGGCGUAUGGUGGAUGCCUUGACUAUAAGAGGCGAUGAAGGACGUGCUAGGCUGCGAUAAGCUUCGGGGAGGUGCCUAAGAACCUUCGAUCCGAAGAUUUCCGAAUGGGGAAACCCUCCGACUUUUGUCGGAACUCUACCAACUUAGGUAGAGAGCGCACCCUGGGAAGUAAAACAUUUCAGUACCAGGAGGAGUAGAGACCAAUAGGAAUUUCCUAAGUAGCGGCGAGCGAAAAGGAAUGAGCCCAAACCUAGUUACAUUCUCACGACAUGUGCAAACGUGCUGUGGGAAUGUUACUGGGGGUUGUAAGGCGGAAACGUUGCAAUUCGUUGCAAGGAGAGUCAAAAAAUUACUUGUUAGAUGAAGCUUUUGGAAAGAAGCCCCCUAGAGGGUAAUGGGCCCGUAGUCGAAAAUAAGUAAUCUCUUUUGUUUCCGUUCUUGAGUACCUCGAGACAUGAAUAGCUCGGGGGAAUCUGCCGGAACUAACCGGUAAGGCUAAAUACUCUUAUAGAUCGAUAGUGAACUAGUACCGUGAGGGAAAGGUGAAAAGCAGCCCGGAAGGGCGGUGAAAUAGAUCUGAAACCAUAUGUUUACAAGGAGUCGGCGAGGGCAUUUAUGUCCUCUACGGCGUGCCUAUUGAAGAAUGAGCCAACGAGUUCUAGCAGACGGCGCGGCUAAGUGCGCGAGCACGGAGCCAUAGGGAAACCGAGUGUGAAUAGCGCGUAUGUCGUAAGCUAGAGACCCGAAGCCAGAGCGAGCUUGUCAUGAGCAGGGUGAACUUCGUCGAAAGAUGAAGGGAGGCCCGAACCGGUGAGCCGUGCAAUACUCUCGGAUGACUUGUGAUAAGAAGUGAAAAGCUAAUCGAGCCUGGUAAUAGCUGGUUCUCUCCGAAAUAGCUUUUGGGCUAGCGUCGUGUGUUCCCCUUGGGGGUAGAGCACUGGAAGGUUUGGACAGGGAGAAAUCUCGCUAAACCUAUCAAACUCCGAAUACCAAGGAUUUAAAACACGGCAGUUAGACGGCGGGGGCUAAGCUCCGUACGUCAAAAAGGAAACAGCCUAAGAUCUCUAUUUAAGGUCCCUAAAUUUACACUAAGUGCACUUAAGGAGGUGAUAUUUCUCAGACACUGAGGAGGUUGGCUUAGAAGCAGCCAUCCUUUAAAGAAAGCGUAACAGCUCACUCAGUAAGAGAUAUCGCACCGCAGAUUCAUGGGGCUAAGUGUAGUACCGAAACUGAGGGCUUUCAUCUUCUUCGGAAGAUGGGAGCGGUAGGAGAGUAUUCGUAUCUGCAAUGAAGGCGAAGGGGUGACCCACGCUGGAGCGUUACGAAGUAAGAAUGUUGGCACAAGUAACCACAAUGCGGGUGAGAAACCCGCACAUCGAAAGAACAAGGUUUCCCUCGCAACGUUUGUCGUCGAGGGGUUAGUCGAUCCUAAGUGAAUGGUGAGAACCGCACACGAUGGAUAUACGGUUAAUAUUCCGUAACUUUCGUAGCAAGUGAUGAAGGGACGGGGGUGAGUAUGUAUCGCGCAUUAUGGAUUUGACGUUCGAGUGCUAAGGACGCCAGUGAGGCAAAUCCCAUUGGCACAAAUCCAAGGUAAACGAAAAUGGGGGAGGGCAACCUCUCUCAAAUGAUACAAAGCCACCCUCCAAGAAAAGCUUCUAAACUUAUUGCUACGGAAAUCGUACCGCAAACCGACACAGGUGUUCUGGUCGAGUAGACCUAGAUGAACGAGUGAGACGUCCCCAAGGAACUCGGCAAAAAAGCAGCCGUAACUUCGGAAUAAGGCUUGCCCUCGCAAGAGGGCCGCAGCUAAAGUAUCUCUGGCAACUGUUUACCAAAAACACAGCUCCCUGCGAACUCGCAAGAGGAUGUAUAGGGGGUGACACCUGACCAAUGCCAGAAGGUCAAAUAUCGGCGGUGAUUUUCGCAAGAAAUGAGCUGACUGAUAUAAGCCCUGGUGAAUGUCGGCCGUAACUAUAACGGUCCUAAGGUUCUCCAUUUAACUUCGGUUGAGUGGAGAAGGACUGGGACUGUUGUAGAAAAAGGUAAAUAGUAUAAAACAAAUAAUCAUUACAUUUCUAAGCUACCUAUCAUGUCGAAAUACAUGAGUAGUCCAUCGUGAUCAACGAGAGACCAACGUCACGGACCCUAAACUUGCAAAAGUAGGGUUAAGAGAGAGUCCAACUGAGGGGAAUAGUUGAGCGAAAUUCCUUGUCUGGUAAGUUCAGACGCGCACGAAUGGUGUAAUGACUGGAGAACUGUCUCG
This 2279-nucleotide ribosomal RNA is filed under the name wastewater metagenome. Its description in RNAcentral is "bacterial LSU rRNA". It matches the Rfam family "Bacterial large subunit ribosomal RNA", at positions 1 to 2023 of the family's 2925-position model. The record is from RNAcentral.